GUCAAACGUAAGUAACGAGUUUUAAAUAUUUUUUUUUACAUAACGAGUACUCGAAAAAAUGGAAUAUCAGCCGUGUUAGAACCGGCCGUGCAAUUUUUCAUUAAUUUCUCCAAAUAAAAUCAAAAUUUAUUUAAUAAAUUGUGUUUUAAAGUUUAAUUUAAAAACUAAAGAACGACUACCACCAAAAAUUAACUAGAAAUUACCACAAAUAUUGGGAUAAUUUCUAAAGAAAACUUUUACAAAAAGAAACUUUUUUGCGACUUGCGUGGAAAAAACGGAAAAAGAAAACGUAAAGAAAAAAACUAAUAAAAAAGCAAAAAGAAAAAAAAAUAGUAAAUCAAAGUGAAAAUUUUUUUGAACAUAUAAUUAAUAAAGGAAAAUUUCUUUUUAAUUAAAAAAUUUUAAGCAUUGAAAGAUCUUAAAAGAAAAUUUGUGACAACUAGUAAAAGUGUCUGGACGGAAAGAAGAAAAAAUCAUUAAAAGGUGUUGAAAUGAGAAAAAAGUAAAACUUAAUUAAAACUUUAUGCAGUUUUUUAUGGGCCAAUUAAUUUGUUGAGCUGGAAAUAGACGUUGGCUGUUGGUGGACGUUUUUGAUGUUUUAAUAUCGUCGUUCUGGCAAAAGGAAAUACACAUUUUUUAUUUUUUUUAAUCUCAAGCCACAAAUGUUUGGUAUUCAAGCAAAAUAUGUUUGCAAAAAAUGCCCAGAAAUGCUGCAAAGAAAACGAAUAAAAUGCUAAAAAACGUCUUCCAGUUUUAAUCAAGUUAACAAAUAUAAAUUUAAACAAUAAUAAAA
Long non-coding RNA from Lucilia sericata (common green bottle fly), 793 nucleotides. RefSeq lists it as uncharacterized. Lineage: Eukaryota; Metazoa; Arthropoda; Insecta; Diptera; Calliphoridae. The transcript is spliced from 2 exons. The record is from RefSeq and is a predicted model, not a curated record.